AACGAACGCUGGCGGCAUGCCUAACACAUGCAAGUCGAACGAGACCUUCGGGUCUAGUGGCGCACGGGUGCGUAACGCGUGGGAACCUGCCCUUAGGUUCGGAAUAACUCGGAGAAAUUUGAGCUAAUACCGGAUAAUGUCUUCGGACCAAAGAUUUAUCGCCUUUGGAUGGGCCCGCGUAGGAUUAGCUUGUUGGUGGGGUAAUGGCCUACCAAGGCGACGAUCCUUAGCUGGUCUGAGAGGAUGAUCAGCCACACUGGGACUGAGACACGGCCCAGACUCCUACGGGAAGCAGCAGUGGGGAAUAUUGGACAAUGGGCGAAAGCCUGAUCCAGCAAUGCCGCGUGAGUGAUGAAGGCCUUAGGGUUGUAAAGCUCUUUUACCAGGGAUGAUAAUGACAGUACCUGGAGAAUAAGCUCCGGCUAACUCCGUG
RNAcentral lists this ribosomal RNA (433 nucleotides) under uncultured bacterium. RNAcentral describes it as "partial 16S ribosomal RNA". It matches the Rfam family "Bacterial small subunit ribosomal RNA", at positions 29 to 507 of the family's 1533-position model. The record is from RNAcentral.